UUGUUGAAACAGUAAGGGCAUGUUUGGCCGCAAUUAACACUCCUGAUGCAUUUCUUGCAAAGAAGGACUAUCCGCCAAACGCUGUCUAGGGUUUGAAGGCGGUCGCUGGGAUCAGUGUGGUUGAUUCGGAGACGGCAGCCGUGACAAUCAGACAAAUUGGCCAAGUCCCUCGUGACCUUUUUGGGCAAUUGAUCAAACGCGGAUGAUGAUGAAGAAGUCGAAUUUGUGGAGUGAAUUGGAGCUAAAUUUUUAGGGUUUGUUGAAGGAUUAGCAGUGGAAGACAGCCGUGACAAUCUGACAAAUUGGCCAAGUCCCUCGUGACCCUUUUGGGCAAUUGAUCAAACGCGGAUGAUGAUGAUGAGGUCGAAUUUGUGGAGUGAAUU
RNAcentral lists this long non-coding RNA (383 nucleotides) under Nicotiana benthamiana. RNAcentral describes it as "long non-coding RNA (NBEN_LNC013032)". The record is from RNAcentral. Lineage: Eukaryota; Viridiplantae; Streptophyta; Magnoliopsida; Solanales; Solanaceae.